RNAcentral lists this long non-coding RNA (512 nucleotides) under Danio rerio (zebrafish). Its description in RNAcentral is "lncRNA (ENSDARG00000117725.1)". Lineage: Eukaryota; Metazoa; Chordata; Actinopteri; Cypriniformes; Danionidae. The record is from RNAcentral.
GAGACGCUGAGCACUGUCAGGAGAAUGACGUCACAAACUCCGCCCACACGCAGGUUUCUUCCUUGUUUGGAGGAAAAGAAAAACGUCAACAUGCAGUGUGUAGUUGUACAGCAUGCAGAAACAGUUGGUUUCACUUUCACAUAGAGACGACUGAGAACCCAAAACAAAAUGGAGAAUGAAGAGACACACAUCAGGAGGAGGAGGAAGAUGAUGAUGAACUGAAGAAAGAGAAGCAGAUCAACAUGAGCAGCAUAAUAACAUGAAGAUCAGCAACAUCAGAAAUGAACAGAGAUGAUGAUCAGCUGAUGAAGAGCAGAAGAUCAACAUGAGCAGCAGAGAGAGCAGAGGUCAGAGAUUAUUCAGACACAUCUGAUCAAACAUCUUUCCUACAGUUCAAAACUAAUAACUACAGUGUGUGUUGACCAGUCCUAUGAGUAAAGAUGUCUGAAUAAUUCAUUAUUUCUGAAUAAUGCAUUUUAAUAAAACUUUAGGUGGUUUGAGUUACUGCUGUU